GCGGAGGGCCGGGCGGCCGCUGGUGCGCAAUUGCGCACGAGAGGAAAGUCCGGACUCCCUGAAGCAGCGGUGCCGGGUAACGCCCGGGCGGGGCAACCCGACGGAAAGCGCCACAGAAAACAGACCGCCCCGGGGGCAGCCUUCGGGGCAAGGGUGAAACGGUGGGGCAAGAGCCCACCGCGCCCCUGGCAACAGGGGCGGCACGGCAAGCCCCACCGGGAGCAAUGCCAAAUAGGAUCCCCGCGCGGCCCGCGCCGCAGGGCCCGCUUCAGCCGGGGGAUCGGGUUGGCAGCCAGAGGCCCGCGGCAACGCGCGCCCUAGAGGAAUGGUCGCCCAGAGGGGUUCGCCCCCUGGACAGAAUCCGGCUUACAGGCCCUCCGCGCAU
Molecule: RNase P RNA, 385 nt
Filed under: Pontibaca methylaminivorans
Lineage: Bacteria; Pseudomonadati; Pseudomonadota; Alphaproteobacteria; Rhodobacterales; Roseobacteraceae
Description: alpha proteobacterium GRP21 Bacterial RNase P class A
Rfam family: Bacterial RNase P class A
About the family: Ribonuclease P (RNase P) is a ubiquitous endoribonuclease, found in archaea, bacteria and eukarya as well as chloroplasts and mitochondria.
Source: Rfam by way of RNAcentral